UCUUGGUUAGUAUAGUGGUCAGUAUGCCAGCUUGUCACUAGAUCACUAGAUCUGCCUGUACGAGCGCUGGAGACCCGGGUUCAAUUCCCGGACCGAGAG
This is a non-coding RNA of Truncatella angustata, 99 nucleotides long. The record is from the annotation of a RefSeq genome assembly. Lineage: Eukaryota; Fungi; Ascomycota; Sordariomycetes; Amphisphaeriales; Sporocadaceae.